UACAGAGGGCCCGAGCGUUGUUCGGAUUUAUUGGGCGUAAAGGGUGCGUAGGCGGCGGAGUAAGUUGGGUGUGAAAUCCCGGGGCUCAACCUCGGAAUGGCAUUCAAUACUGCUUCGCUAGAGUACUGGAGAGGAGGCUGGAAUUUACGGUGUAGCAGUGAAAUGCGUAGAUAUCGUAAGGAAGGCCGGUGGCGAAAGCGGCAUCCUGGACCGACAUUGACGCUGAACGACGAAAGCUAGGGGAGCAAACGGG
This 253-nucleotide ribosomal RNA is filed under the name uncultured bacterium. Its description in RNAcentral is "partial 16S ribosomal RNA". It matches the Rfam family "Bacterial small subunit ribosomal RNA", at positions 524 to 776 of the family's 1533-position model. The record is from RNAcentral.